CCAAGUUGAAAUUUAAUGUUGAAAAAAAAACCGUUACGCGAGAAACAAAAGUAAGAUUCAACGAAAGGACGGAAAAUGAAACAUCAAGGAAGAAACCUAGAAUCAUUUGAUACAAAAAAGCCGCAAGGUUUAAAUGCAAGCAUAUAUUUUCCUUUCACAAACAAGUAAGCAUAUGUUCGAACAAAAUUUUCGAAAGCGUCAACGGAGAAACCAAUAAAUUGUUCGGACAAGCAUACUACGAUUUUCAUAAAACCAAAUAGCAUGUCAAAAACAUUAAUACAAUAGAACUUUCGAAAAUAAAGAAAUCCAACAAAAAUAAUAUGGUUUAAACGAAAGGAUGGAAAAUGAAGCAUCAAGGGAGAAAACUAGAAAUGUUUGAUAAAAUGAAACCAUGAUUUUCAUAAAGGCAUAGAUAUGCAACAAAAUGCAAGGGUGCAGCUCACGAAAAGUUAUGGAUUAAAAAUGAAGCGUCAACGGAGAAACCAAUAAAUCGUUCCGAACAAGCAAAUUAUGGUUCUCAUAAAAUCAAUAGGAUGCAACCAAAUGUAGAUGUCUAGCAUGUAACCAAUAUAUUAUUUUCGAUAAAUAGGGACACGAAACUCUUGAACUUAGUUCUAAGUCUACGAUUAAAACGCCAGAGCACAAAAAAGCCGCAAGGUUUAAAUGCAUGCAACUAUUUCCUUUUCGAAUAUGGGUCAGCCUACUUAGGAAUUCAUAUUAUUUAUGUGGCUCUUACGAUGAUUUUGUCUUUGGUGGGGGUGGUAUGAGAACCUAUCCUUGUUUGGUUGGUGGAAUACGAUCUAAGGUGUAAUGGCUAUGUUGUUUUCCAAUAACAAUACGAUAUUAUUGAUUUUAAAUGUUUAUAAAACUUUUCAAGAAUACUUGAUUUAGAAUCUCUAACCAUUAGGAUGUAACAAGGUUCAAGUCUUCAUGGUCUACAGUCAUGAUCUAACCUUGUUGAUCUCACAUUCGAUAAAUUUAAGUUUUAGGACAGCAAGUAAGGCGGUUGGGAAAAUAAGGAUAAAUUGAACAAAACUCUGGGUUACAUCUUAGGGGUUGACAAUAUUUGUUCUCCAGUUGCUAAUUAGUCAUAUGCAAUCUAAUCCAAGGUGUUCUAGGAAUAUUUGUCGAGUCAUACUGGAUGCAUCAGGACGGUCUCAUUAUGUGCAUCCAUAAACUUGGUCGUGGUAGAAAACGGGAUGCUAGAUGGCAUGUGCAGCAAUAACUUUUCUUUUUCUCAAAAAGGCAAAGAUGUAUGUAUGAUAUCAUGAUGAAUGAAAUGAUGCGAUGCAUGUAUGAUAUGAUACAAUGCUUAUGGAGAUAUUUUGUAUUGCGUACAUGCCAUAGAACAAUCCUUUCGGGAAAAUUGUUCUUGAGACUAUUGAUCCUACUCAUGGUUUUUCAUGGGCAUUGGAAUGGUUGUAACUCUUUAUACGCUAUAGGCUAGGAUAAGGUGACAAAAUUAAACAUUUUUUUACCUAGACUCGUAACAAAGUUCUCCUUAUCUAGGAAAGAGAUGGUAAUUUUAAAACAAAUGGAUUAUCUUAGAGAAGUUUUCAAAACCUAAAAGUGAAGUUCCUAAACCAUGUUGUGAGUUGCUACGAUGUACAAAUCUUGCAUCCGACCGUAAAGGGUCACAAAAUUUGCACACUGAGCCAUCUCAUCUUAAAUUACAUAGUUUGCUUACGACUUGUUCCUAGUAUGAUAUUUCCAUUUAGGCUUGUGGGGGCUUGCAAAGGUUACAUGUUGUCUCUGGGUUUGUAAGUUCAUGGCACUCUAUCCCCCUUAAAAUAAAAUAAAAUUUUGCAAUGGGGUUUAUCAAGAAAUUUAAAUGGAAGAGCUAAAUAGGUCUAUGUGCCAUAUGCUGUACUAUCCAGUCCCGAGGCGCAAACUGAAGCAAAAGACUAUGCUAGAUGGGUGAUAAAUUAGAAAAAAAUUAUAUCCAUGAUCCUAACAAAGUUUUCUCCUAUCUGGGAAGGAAUGUUGAUUUUUUGGACAAAUAGAUUAUUUUAGAGAAAUUGGGCAAGACAAGUGAUGCAGUGCUGGAAUUUAUCGGUCUACUAUCUUUACCUAAUUUUUAGGUAAGUUCUAAAGGUUCAUAAGAAAUUUUUAAAAAGAAAAUCAGAGAGAUUGAUGGGUAACCUUUUGAGCUACCCUGAAAGAACCAAGAUUUUAUCCCUUCUAGAUUGGGCUACACAAAUUCGAUAAACAAAGUAUUUUUUUUUCGAUAAACAAGGUAACGUAACAACAAAAAUUAAAUUAGUUAUAAGUCUACUAUUAAAAUGCCGGAACACAAAAAAGCCGCAAGGUUUAAAUGCAAGCAAAUAUUUUCUUUUCACAAACUAGUAAGCAUAAGUUUAUACUACAAAAUUUAGGAAAUUGAGAUUUCAAAACGAAAAUAAAGCUUUAUAGUCCAAAGAGAAGUUCCAAAAAGAGAAAAUUUGUAAUUGAAGAAAUCAAACUUAAAGUACCGAGUUGAAACCUAAUGUUGAAAGAAAAACCCGUUACGCAAGUAAGAUUCAACGAAAGGACGGAAAAUGAGUUAUAAGUCGAAAAUGAAAAUGGUAGAGAACAAAAAAGCCCAAGAUUUAAAUGCAAGGAAAUAUUUUCUUUUCACUAACUAGUAAGCAUAAGUUCAAUCAAAAUUUAGGAAAUCUGAUAUUUCAAAACUGAAUUAAAGCUUUAACGUCCAAAGAGAAUAUCAAAAGCAUUAGUAGGAGAGAAAGUUCGAAAACAAAGAAAUCCAACUAAAAGCGUUCAGUUUGAAUGAAAGGACGGAACAUUGAAGCGUGAAGGGACAAACCUAAAAACGAUCCAUACAAGGAAAUCAAGAUUUUUAUAGAAGCUUCAAGGUGCAACAGAAUGUAUGGGUCCAGUUUACAACGAUGUUAUUUGUUUUCAAUAAACAAGAAGACGAAUCCAAAUAACUCAAUUAAUAAGUUCAAAAUUAACGUCAGAGCAAAAUAAAACGGUCAGGCUUCAAUGCAAAAGAAUAUUUUGCUUUUAUAAAACAGAAAAAAAAAGUUCAAACAAACUUAAGGAAGAUUAACCGUGACAACGAAAAAAAUUGCAAACUCCAAAAAGGAUAUUUGAAGAAUCAAUGCAAGAAGAACAUUACAAAAUCAAGGAAUCCAACUAAAAGUACAAAAUUUUAAACUUAUGGAUAAAAAAUAAAGCGUCAACGAAGAACCCAUAAAUCGUUUGGAACAAGUAAACUACGGUUUUCAUAAAAUCAAAAUGAUGCUACCAAAUGUAGAAGUCUAGCCCGCAACCAAGAUAUUUUUUCGAUAAACAGGGAAACGUAACUCUAGAACUUAGUUAUAAGUCUACGAUUAAAACACCAGAGCACAAAAAAGCCGCAAGGAUUAAAUGCAAGCAAUAUUUUCACGAACCGGUAAGCAUAAGUAGAUACAAAAUUUAGGAAAUUGAGAUUUCAGAACUAAAAUAAAGUUUUAAAGUCCAAAGAGAAGUUCCGAAAAGAGAGUACCUAGUUGAAAUUCAAGUGUGAAAAACAACCGUCACUUGAGAAACCAAAAUAAAGUUUUAAAGUGCAGUUAGCGUGUCAAAAGCAUUAAUACAAGAGAACUUUCGAAAAUAAAUAAAUCCAACGAAAAGCAUAAUGUUUAAAGGAUAGGUUGGAAAAUGAAGCAUCAAGGGAGAAAACUAGAAAUGUUUGAUACAAAGAAACUGUGACUUUUAUAAAGGAUUAGAUGUGCAACAAAAUGCAUCGGUCCAGCUCACAAAAGGUUAUUUGUUUUCAAUAAACAGGGAGACCCGACUCUACAACUCAAUUAUAAGUUCAAAAUUAACGUCGGAGCAAAAUAAAACGGUUAGGCCUCAAUGUAAAAUGAAUAUUUUGUUUUGUUAAACCAGAAAACAAAGUUCAAUCAAACUUUACGAAGACGAACCGUGACAACCAAAAAAAAAAGGAAACUCCAAAAAAGAUAUUUGAAGAAUGGAUGCAAGAAGAACGUUACAAAAUCUAGAAGCGUCAACGAAGAAAACAAUAAAUUGUUAGGGACAAGCAAACUACGAUUUUCAUAAAAUCAGUAAGAUGCAACCAAAUAUAACGUAAACCCGCAACAAAGAUAUUUUUUCUCGAUAAACAGGGUAACGUAACUAUAGAAAUUAAAUUAGUUAUAAGUCUACUAUUAGAUCAUCAGAGCAAAAAAAAAGCCGCAAGGUUUAAAUGCAAGCAAAUAUUUUCUUUUCAAAAAACUAGUAAGCAUAAGUUUAUACAAAAUUUAGGAAAUUGGGAUUUCAGAACUAAAAUAAAGCUUUAGAGUGCAAAUAGAAGUUCAAAAAAAGAGAAAAUUUGUAAUUGAAGAAAUCAAAUUUAAAGUACCAAGUUGAAACUUAAUGAUGAAAAAAAUCGUUACACGAGAAAGAACAGGAAAUAUUUAAAGUCCAAAUAGCAGAACGUUAAAAAAAAAGCAAUCCAACUAAAAGCAUAAAGUUUAAAUGAGAAGACGGAAAUGAAGCGUCAAGGGAGAAACCCAUAAACGUUUGGUACAAGGAAACCAUGAUUUUUCAUGAACUUAAGGAAGAUGAACUGGGACAACGAAAAAAAAAAUGGAAACACCAAAAAGGACAUUUGAAGAAUAGAUGCAAGAAAAACGUUACAAAAUCAAGGAAUCCAACUAAAAGUAAAAAACUUAAACUUAUGGAUGAAAAAUAAAGCGUCAACGAAGAACCGAUAAAUCGUUCGAAACAAGCAAACUACCGUCAUCAUAAAAUCAUUAGGAUGCAACCAAAUGUAGACAAAAAAUACCAAGUUGAAACCCAUGGAGUAAUAUAAAAAAAAGGUCACACGAGAAACCAAAAUAAAGUAUUAAAUUCCAAAUAGCAGAUCAAAAGUAUUAAUAGAGGAGAUUGUUCGAAGAUAAAGAAAUCCAACUAAAAACAUAAAGUUUAAACGAGAGGACGGAAAAUGAAGCGUCAAGGGCGAAACCUAGAAGCGUUUGAUACAAGGAAAACGUGAUUUUCAAAAACCUUCAAGGUGCAAAAAAAAAAAAAUGCAUGGGUCCAGCUCUCAAUAAAGUUAUUUGUUUUCGAUAAACAUGGAGACCCAACUAUACAGCUCAAGUAUUCAAGUUAUUUGUUUUCAAUAAACGGGGAGACAAAACUCUACAAAUCAACUAAAAGAUCAAAAUUAACGACAAAUCAAAAUAAAUCGGUCAGAGCUUAAUGCAAAAGAAUAUUUUGUUUUUAUAAACCAGAAAACAAAGUUCAAACAAACUUAAGGAAGACGAACCGUGACAACAAAAAUAAUUGGAAACUCCAAAAGGAUAUUUGGAGAAUUGAUGCAAGAAGAAUGUUUCAAAAUCAAGGAAUCCAACUAAAAGUACAAAAUAUAAAUUUCUCGAUGAUAAAUGAAGCAUCAACGGAGAAACCAAGAAAUCGUUUGGUACAACCAAACUACGAUUUUCAUAAAAUCAAUUAGAUGUGACCGAAUAAAGACAUCCAGCUCGCAACUAAAUAUUUUUUUGAUAAAAAAAGGAGACGUAACUCUAGAGUUUAAAUAUAAGGCGAAAAUUAAAACGUCAGAGCACAAAAAAGCCGCAAGGUUUAAAUGCGAGCAACUAUUUUUUUUCACAAACUAGUAAGCAAAAGUUCAUACAGAAUUUAGGAAAUAAAGCUUUAAAGUCUGAAGAGAAGUUCCAAAAAGAGAAUCUUUAUAAUUGAAGAAAUCGAACUAAAAGUACCAAGUUAGAACUUAAUGAUGAAAAAAAUAGAUCGUCACGCGAGAAACCAAAGUAAAGUUUUCAUAAACCAGGUAUCAAAGUUCAAACCAACUUAAGGAAGACGAACGGUGAUAACCGAAAAAUUUGGAAACUCCAAAAAGGAUAUCUGAAGAAUGAAUGCAAGAAGAACGUUUGAAAAUAAAGGAAUCCACUUAAAAGUACAAAAUUUAAAACUUACGGAUGAAAAAUGAAGUGCCAAUGGAGAAACCAAUAAAUCGAUCGGACAAGCAUACUACGAUUUUCAUAAAACCAAAUAGCAUGUCAAAAGCAUUAAUACAAUAGAACUUUCGAAAACAAAGAAAUACAACGAAAAUAAUAUGGUUUAAACGAAAGGAUGGAAAAUGAAGCAUCAAGGGAGAAAACUAGAAAUGUUUGAUAAAAUGAAACCAUGAUUUUCAUAAAGGCAUAGAUGUGCAACAAAAUGCAAGGGUGCAGCUCACGAAAAGUUAUGGAUUAAAAAUGAAGCGUCAACGGAGAAACCAAUAAAUCGUUCCGAACAAGCAAACUACGGUUCUCAUAAAAUCAAUAGGAUGCAACCAAAUGUAGAUGUCUAGCCUGUAACCAAGAUAUUGUUUUUCGAUAAAUAGGGACACGAAACUCUUGAACUUAGUUCUAAGUCUACGAUUAAAACGCCAGAGCACAGAAAAGCCGCAAGGUUUAAAUGCAUGCAAGUAUUUCCUUUUCGAAUCUGGGUCAGCCUACUUAGGAAUUCAUAUUAUUUAUGUGGCUCUUACGAUGAUUUUGUCUUUGGUGAGGGUGUUAUGAGAACCUAUCCUUGUUUGGUUGGUGGAAUACGAUCUAAGGUGUCAUGGCUAUGCUGUUUUCUGAUAACAUUACGAUAUUAUUGAUUUUAAAUGUUUAUAAAACUUUUCAAGAAUACUAGAUUUAGAAUCUCUAACCAUCAGGAUGUAACAAGGUUCAAGUCUUCAUGGUCUAAGGUCAUGAUCUAACCUUGUUGAUCUCACAUUCGAUAAAUUUAAGUUUUAGGACAACAAGGCGAUUGAGAAAAUAAGGAUAAAUUGAACAAAACUUUGGGUUACAUCUUAGGGGUUGGCAAUAUUUGUUCUCCUGGUGCUAAUUAGUCAUAUGUAAUUCUAGGAAUAUUUGUCGAGUCAUACUGGAUGCAACAGGACGGUCUCAUUAUGUGCAUCCAUAAACUUGGGUCGUGGUAGAAAACGGGAUGCUAGAUGGCAUGUAUAGCAAUAACUUUUCUUUUUCUCAAAAAGGCAACGAUGUAUGCUAUGAUAUCAAGAUGAAUGAAAUGAUGCGAUGCAUGUAUGAAAUGACACAAUGCUUAUGAAGAUAUUUUGUAUUGCACACAUUUUUUUUUGAUGGAAGGCAAAAGCUCAUGCCAUACAUGCCAUAGAACAAUCCUUUCGGAAAAAUUGUUCUUGAGACUAUUUGUCCUACUCAUGGUUUAUCAUGGGCAUGGGAAUGGUUGCUACUCUUUAUAGGCUUUAGGCUAGGAUAAGGUGACAAAAUUACUUUUUUUUUACUCAGACUCGUAACAAAGUUCUCCUUAUCAAGGAAAGAGAUGGUAAUUUUAAAACAAAUGGAUCAUCUUAGAGAAGUUUGCAAAACCUAAAAGUCAAGUUCCCAAACCAUGUUUGUGAGUUGCUACGAUGUACAAAUCUUGCAUCCAACCGUAAAGGGGCACAAAAUUUGCACACUGAGCCAUCUCAACUUAAAUUACAUAGUUUGCUUAUGACUUGUUCCUAGUAUGAUAUUUCCAUUUAGGCUUGUGGGGGCUUGCAAAGGUUACAUGUUUUGUCUCUGGUUUGUAAGGUCAUGGCACUCUAUUCCCCUUAAAAUAAAAUAAAAUAAAAUUUUGCAAUGGGGUUUAUCAAGAAUUUUAAUGGAAGAGCUAAAUAGGUCUAUGUGCCCAUAUGCUAUACUAUCCAGUCCCGAGGCGCAAACUGAAGCAAAAGACUAUGCUAGAUGGGUGAUAAAUUAGAAAAAAAACUAUAUUCAUGAUCCUAACAAAGUUUUCUCCAAUCUGGGUAGGAAAGGUAAUUUUUUGGACAAAUAGAUUAUUUUAGAGAAAUUGGUCAAGACAAGUGAUGCAGUGCUAGAAUUUACCGGUCCACUAUCUUUACGUAAUUUUUAGGUCAAGUUCUAAAGGUUCAAAAGAAAUUUUUAUAAAGAAAAUUAGAGAGAUUGAUGGGUAACCUUUUUGAGCUACCCUAAACGAACCAAGAUUUUAUCCCUUCUAGAUUGGGCUACACAGAUUCGAUAAACAAGGUAUGUUUUUCGAUAAACAGGGUAACGUAAGUAUAGAAAUUAAAUUAGUUAUUAGUCUACUAUUAAAACGUCGGAGCACAAAAAAGCCGCAAGGUUUAAAUGCAAGCAAAUAUUUUCUUUUCACAAACAAGUAAGCAUACGUUCAAACAAAAUUACAGAAAUUACCAUUUUAGAAGUAAAAUAAAGCAUUCAAUUCUAAAGAGAAGUUUCAAAAAGAGAAACUUUGUAAUUGAAGAAGUCAAACUUAAAGUAUCAAGUUGAAACUUAAUGUUGAAAAAAAACCGUUACGCGAGAAACAAAAGUAAAGAUUCAACGAAAGGACGAAAAAUGAAACAUAAGGGAGAAACCUAAAAACGUUUGAUACAAAAAAGCCGCAAGGUUUACAUGCAAGCAAAUAUUCUUUUCACAAAUAAGUAAGCAUAGAUUCAAACAAAAUUUUGGUAAUUUACAUUUUAGAAUUAAAAUAAAGAUUUAAAGUGCAAAGAGAAGUUCCAAAAAGAGAAACUUUGUAAUCGAAGAAAUCAAACUAAAAGUACCAAGUUGAAUCUGAACAAUGAAAAAAGAACCGUCCCGCAGGAAACCAUAGUAAAGUUUUAAAGUCCAAAUACACAUCAAAAGCAUGAAUACAAGAGGCUAAUAAAUCGUUCAGAACAAGCAAAAACUGCGGUUUUCAUAAAAUCGAAAGGAUGCAACCAAAUAUAUACGUCUAGCCCGCAGCAAAGAUAUUUUUUCGAUAAGCAGGGAAACGUAACUCUAGAACUUAGUUAUAAGUCUACGAUUAAAACGUCAUAGCACACAAAAGAGCCGCAAGGUUUAAAUGCUAGAAAUAUUUUCACAAACCAGUAAGCACAGUACAUACAAAAUUUAGGAAAUUGAGAUUUCAGAACUAAAAUAAAGUUUUAAAGUUCAAAGAGAAGUUCCAAAAAGAGAGUACCAAGUUAAAAUUCAAGUGUGAAAAAACAACCGUCCCUCGAGAAACCAAAAUAAAGUUUUAAAGUGCAGUUGGCGUGUCAAAAGUAUUAAUACAAGAGAACUUUCGAAAAUAAAUAAAUCCAACGAAAAGCAUAAUGUUUAAACGAUAGAACAGAAAAUGAAUCGUCAAGGGAGAAACCUAGAAAUAUUUGAUACAAGGAAAACAUGAUUUUCAUAAAAGCUUUAAGGUGCAACAAAAUGCAUGGGCCCAGCUCAUAACAAAGUUAUUUGUUUUCAAUACACAGGGAGACCCAACUAUACACACAACUAUAAGCUCAAAAUUAACGUCAGAAUAAAAUAAAAUGGUUGGUCAUAGCACAAAAAAGCCACAAGGUUUAAAUGCAAGCAAAUAUUUUCUUUUCACAAUUAAGUAAGCAUAAGUUCAAACAAAAUUACAAAAAUUGCCAUUUCAGAAGUAAAAUAAAGCUUUCAACUCUAAAGAGAAGUUCCAAAAAGAGAAACUUUGUAAUUGAAGAAAUGAUUCAACGAAAGGACGGGAAAUGAAACGUCAAGGGAGAAACCUAGUAACGUUUGAUAAAAAAAGCCGCAAGGUUUAGAUGCAAGCAAAUAUUUUCUUUUCACAAACAAGCAUAGAUUCAAACAAAAUUUUGGUAAUUUACAUUUCAGAACUAAAAUAGCAUGUCAAAAGUUUUAAAGUCCAAAUAGCAUGUCAAAAGCAUGAAUACAAGAGAACAUUCGAAAAUAAAGAAAUCCAGCAGAAAGCAUACAGUAAAAUGAAAGGAUGUAAAAUAAAGCGUCAAGAGAGAAGCCUAGAAAUGUUUUAUACAAGGAAACUGUAAUUUUCAGAAAAGAUUGAACGUGCAACAAACUAUAAGGGUCCAGCUCACAAAAAAGUUAGUUGUUUUCAAUAAACUGGGAGACUCAACUCUAGAACUAACGGCAGAGCAAAACAAAUCGGUACGGCUUAAAGCAAAAGAAUAUUUUGUUUUUAUAAACCAGAAAACAAAGUCCAAACAAACUUCAGAAGAUGAACCGUGACAACAAAAAUAAUUGGAAACUCAAAAAAAGAUAUUUGAAGAAUGUUUCAAAAUCAAGGAAUCCAAUUAAAAGUACAAAAUAUAAAUUUCUCGAUGAAAAAUGAUGCCUCAACGGAGAAACCAAGAAAUUGUUUGGUACAACCAAACUACGAUUUUCAUAAAAUCAAUAAGAUGCAACCGAAUGUAGACAUCCAGCUCGCAACCAAAAUAUUUUUUUUUUGAUAAAAAGGAGGCGUAACUCUAGAAUUUAAUUAUAAGGCCAAAAUUAAAACGACAUAGCACAAAAAAACCCCACAAGGUUUAAAUGCACACAAAUAUGUUCUUGUGAAAAAUUAUUAAUCAUAAGUUCAAACAAAAUUUCAGAAACUGAGAUUUCAGAACUAAAAUAAAGAUUUAAUGUCCAAAGAGAAGAUAAAGAAAGAGAAACUUUGUAAUUGAAGAAAUCAAACUAGCAGAACUAAACCGAAACUCAAGGAUGAAAAAACAACCAUCACUCGAGAAACCAAAAUAAAGUUUUAAAGACCAAAUAGCAUGUCAAAAGCAUUAAUACAAGAGAACGCUCGAAAAUAAAGAAAUCCAACUAAAUGCAGUAGGUUUAAACGAAAGGACAAAAAAUGAAUCGUCAAGGGAGAAUCCUAGAAAUGUUCGACACAAGGAAACCUUGAUUUUCAUAAAAGCUUCAAGGUGCAACAAAAUGCAUGGGCCCAGCUCACAACAAAGUUAUUUGUUUUCGAUAAACAGGGAGACUCAACUCUACAACUCAAUUAUAAGAGCAAAAUAAAUCAAUUAGGCUUCAAUGCAAAAGAAUAUUUUGUUUUUAUAAACCAGAAAACAAUGUUCAAACAACCUUAAGAUGAACCAUGACAACAGAAAAAAAUUGGAAACUCCAAAAAGGUUAUUUGAAGAAUCGAUGCAAGAAGAACAUUACAGAAUCAAGGAAUCCAACUAAAUGUAAAAAAAUUAAACUUAUGGAUGAAAAAUGAAGCGUCAACGAAGAAACCUAUAAAUCGUUCGGAACAAGCAAACUACGGUUAUCAUAAAAUCAACAGGAUGCAACCAAAUGUAGACGUCUAGACCGCAACCAAGAUAUUUUUUCGAUAAACAGGGAAACAUAACUCUAGAACUUAGUUAUAAGUCUACGAUUAAAACAUCAGAGCACAAAAAAGCCGCAAGGACUAAAUGCAAGCAAUAUUUUCACGAACCAGUAAGCAUAAGUACAUAAAAAAUUUAGGAAAUUGAGAUUACAGAACUAAAAUAUAGUUUUAAAGUCCAAAGAGAAGUUCCAAAAAGGGAGUACCUAGUUGAAAUUCAAGUGUGAAAAACAACGUCACUCAAGAAACCAAAAUAAAGUUUUAAAGUGCAGUUAGCGUGUCAAAAGCAUUAAUACAAGAGAACUUUCUAAAAUAAAUAAUCGAACGAAAAGCAUAAUGUUUAAACGAUAGGUUGGAAAAGGAAUCGUCAAAGGGAGAAAACUAGAAAUGUUUGAUACAAGGAAAACGUGACUUUUAUAAAGGAUUAGAUGUGCAGCAAAAUGCAUCAUUCCAGCUCACAAAAGGUUAUUUGUUUUCAAUAAAUAGGGAGACCCGACUCUACAACUCAAUUAUAAGUUCAAAAUUAACGUCAGAGCAAAAUAAAUUUGUUAGGCCUCAAUGCAAAAUGAAUAUUUUGUUUUAUUAAACCAGAAAACAAAGUUCAAACAAACUUUAUGAAGAAGAACCGUGACAACCAAAAAAAAAAUUGGAAACCCCAAAAAAGAUAUUUGAAGAAUGGAUGCCAGAUGAACGUUAAAAAAUCUAGAAGCGUCAACGAAGAAAACAAAAAAUCUUGAGGGAUAAGCAAACUGUGAUUUUCAUAAAAUCAGUAAGAUGCAACCAAAUAUAGCAUAAACCCGCAAAAAAGAUAUUUUUUUCGAUAAACAGGAUAACGUAACUAUAGAAAUUAAAUUAGUUAUAAGUCUACUAUUAGAUCAUCAGAGAAAAAAAAGCCGCAAGGUUUAAAUGCAAGCAAAUAUUUUCUUUUCAAAAACCAGUAAGCAUAAGUUUAUACAAAAUUUAGGAAAUUGGGAUUUCAGAACUAAAAUAAAGCUUUAAGUGCAAAGAGAAGUUCAAAAAGGAGAAAAUUUGCAAUUGUAGAAAUCAAACUUAAAGUACCGAGUUGAAACUUAAUGAUGAAAAAAAAUCGUUACGUGAGAAAGAAUAGGAAUGAUUUAAAGUCCAAAUAGCAAAACGUUCACAAAAAGAAGUAAUCCAACUAAAAGUAUAAAGUUUAAAUGAGAAGACGGAAAUGAAGCGUCAAGGGAGAAACCCAUAAACGUUUGGUACAAGGAGCGAUUUUUCAUGAACUUAAGGAAGACGAACCGUGACAACGAAAAAAAAUUGGAAACUCCAAAAAUGACAUUUGAAGAAUAGAUGCAAGAAGAACGUUACAAAUCAAGGAAUCCAACUAAAAGUACAAAAUUUAAACUUAUGGAUGAAAAAUAAAGCAUCAACAAAGAACCGAUAGGAUAAAUCAUUCGGAACAAGCAAACUACAGUCAUCAUAAAAUCAAUAGGAUGCAACCAAAUGUAGACAGAAAAUACCAAGUUGAAACCCAUGGAUAAAAAAAAAGGUCACACGAGAAACCAAAGUAAAGUAUUAAAGUCCAAAUAGCAAACCAAAAGUAUUAAUAGAGGAGAUCGUUCGAAGAUAAAGAAAUCCAACUAAAAACAUAAAGUUUAAACGAGAGGGGCAAAACCUAGAAGAGUUUGAUACAUGGAAACCAUGAUUUUUCAAAAACCUUCAAGGUGCAACAAAAUGCAUUGGUCCAGCUCUCAAUAAAGUUAUUUGUUUUCGAUAAACAUGGAGACCCAACUAUACAGCUCAAGUAUUCAAGUUAUUUGUUUUCAAUAAACGGGGAGACAAAACUCUACAAAUCAACUAAAAGAUCAAUAUUAACGACAAAUCAAAAUAAAUCGGUCAGAGCUUAAUGCAAAAGAAUAUUUUGUCUUUAUAAACCAGAAAACAAAGUUCAAACAAACAUAAGGAAGAUGAACUGCGACAACAAAAAUAAUUGGAAACUCCAAAAAGGAUAUUUGGAGAAUUGAUGCAAGAAGAAUGUUUCAAAAUCAAGGAAUCCAAUUAAAAGUACAAAAUAUAAAUUUCUCGAUGAUAAAUGAAGCAUCAACGGAUAAACCAAGAAAUCGUUUAGUACAACCAAACAUCAUAAAAUCAAUUAGAUGUGACCGAAUAAAGACAACCAGCUCGCAUCCAAAAUAUUUUUUCGAUAAAAAAGAAGGCGUAACUCUAGAAUUUAAAUAUAAGGCCAAAAUUAAAACGUCAUAGCACAAAAGCCGCAAGGUUUAAAUGCGAGCAACUAUUUAUUUUUCACAAACUAGUAAGCAAAAGUCCAUACAAAAUUUAGGAAAUGGAGACUUCAGAACUAAAAUAAAGCUUUAAAGUCCAAAGAGAAGUUCCAAAAAGAGAAACAAUAUAAUUGAAGAAAUCGAACUAAAAGUACCAAGUUGAAACUUAAUGAUGAAAAAAAAGACCGUCACGCGAGAAUCCAAAGUAAAGUUUUCAUAAACCAGUUAUCAAAGUUCAGACCAACUUAAGGAAGACGAACAGUGAUAACCGAAAAAUUUGGAAACUCCAAAAAGGAUAUUUGAAGAAUCAAUGCAAGAAGAACGUUUGAAAAUAAAGGAAUCCAACUAAAAGUACAAAAUUUAAACUUAUGGAUGAAAAAUGAAGCGCCAAUAAAGAAACCAAUAAAUCGUUCGGACAAGCAUACUACGAUUUUCAUAAAACCAAAUAGCAUGUAAAAAGCAUUAAUACAAUAGAACUAAAAAUAAUAUGGUUUAAAAAAGGAUGGAAAAUGAAGCAUCAAGGGAGAAAACUAGAAAUGUUUGAUAAAAUGAAACCAUGAUUUUCAUCAAGGCAUAGAUGUGCAACAAAAUGGAAGGGUGCAGCUCACGAAAAGUUAUGGAUUAAAAAUGAAGCGUCAAUGGAGAAACCAAUAAAUCGUUCGGAGCAAGCAAACUACGGUUCUCAUAAAAUCAAUAGGAUGCAACCAAAUGUAUAUGUCUAGCCCGUAACCAAGAUAUUUUUUUCGAUAAACAGUGACACGAAACUAUUGAACUUAGUUCUAAGUCUACGAUUAAAAUGCCAGAGCACAGAAAAGCCGCAAGAUUUAAAUGCAUGCAACUAUUUCCUUUUCUAAUAUGGGUCAGCCUACUUAGGAAUUCAUAUUAUUUAUGUGGCUCUUACGAUGAUUUUGUCUUUGGUGGGAGUGGUAUGAGAACCUAUCCUUGUUUGGUUGGUGGAAUACGACCUAAGGUGUCAUUGCUAUGUUGUUUUCUAAUAACAAUACGAUAUUAUUGAUUUUAAAUGUUCACAAAACUUUUCAAGAAUACCAGAUUUAGAAUCUCUAAUGGCAAUUAGGAUGUAACAAGGUUCAAGUCUUCAUGGUCUACGGUCAUGAUCUAACCUUGUUGAUCUCACAUUCGAUAAAUUUAAGUUUUAGGACAGCAAGUAAGACGGUUGGGAAAAUAAGGAUAAAUUGAACAAAACUUUGGGUUACAUCUUAGGGGUUGGCAAUAUUUGUUCUCCGGGUGCUAGUUAGUCAUAUGCAAUCUAAUCCAAGGUGUUCUAGGAAUAUUUGUCGAGUCAUAUUGGAUGCAUCAGGACGGUCUCAUUAUGUGCAUCCAUAAACUUGGGUCGUGGUAGAAAACGGGAUGCUAUAUGGCAUGUAUAGCAAUAACUUUUCUUUUUCUCAAAAAGGCAAGGAUGGAUGGUAUGAUGUCAUGAUGAAUGAAAUGAUGCGAUGCAUGUAUGAAAUGAUACAAUGCUUAUGAAGAUAUUUUGUAUUGCAUACAUGCCAUAGAACAAUCCUUUCGGGAAAAUUGUUCAUGAGACUACUGAGCCUACUCAAGGUUUUUCAUGGGCAUGGGAAUAGUUGCAACUCUUUAUAGGCUUUAGGCUAGGAUAAGGUGACAAAACUACAAAAAAUUUACUCAGACUCGUAACAAAGUUCUCCUUAUCUAGGAAAGAGAUGGUAGAAGUUUUUAAAACCUAAAAGUCAAGUUCCCAAACCAUGUUUGUGAGUUGCUACGAUGUGCAAAUCUUGCAUCCGACCGUAAAGGGGCACAAAAUUUGCACACUGAGCCAUCUCAACUUAAAUUACAUAGUUUGCUUACGACUUGUUCCUAGUAUGAUAUUUCCAUUUAGGCUUGUGGGGGCUUGCAAAGGUUACAUGUUGUCUCUGGUUUGUAAGGUCAUGGCACUCUAUCCCCCUUAAAAUAAAAUAAAAUAAAAUUUUGCAAUGGGGUUUAUCAAGAAAUUUUAAUGGAAGAGCAAAAUAGGUGUAUGUGCCCAUAUGCUGUACUAUCCAGUCCCGAGGCGCAAACUGAAGCAAAAGACUAUGCUAGAUGGGUGAUAAAUUAGAAAAAAAAAAGUAUAUUCAUGAUCCUAACAAAGUUUUCUCCAAUUUGGGUAGGAAAGGUGAUUUUUUUCGACAAAUAGAUUAUUUUAGAGAAAUUGGUCAAGACAAGUGAUGCAGUGCUAGAAUUUACCGGUCUACUAUCUUUACGUAAUUUUUAGGUCAAGUUCUAAAGGUUCAAAAGAAAUUUUUAAAAAGAAAAUUAGAGAGAUUGAUGGGUAACCUUUUUGAGCUACCCUAAACGAACCAAGAUUUUAUCCCUUCUAGAUUGGGCUACACAAAUUCAAUAAACAAGGUAUGUUUUUCGAUAAGCAGGGUAACGUAACUAUAGAAAUUAAAUUAGUUAUUACCCUACUAUUAAAACGUCGGAGCACAAAAAAAGCCACAAGGUUUAAAUGCAAGCAAAUAUUUUCUUUUCACAAACAAGUAAGCAUGCGUUCAAACAAAAUUACAGAAAUUACCAUUUUAGAAGUAAAAUAAAGCUUUCAAUUCUAAAGAGAAGUUCCAAAAAGAGAAACUUUGUAAUUGAAGAAGUCAAACUUAAAGUAUCGAGUUGAAACUUAUUUUUAAAAAAAACCGUUACGCGAGAAACAAAAGUAAAGAUUCAACGAAAGGACGAAAAACGAAACAUAAGGGAGAAACCCAAAAACGUUUGAUACAAAAAAGCCACAAGGUUAACAUGCAAGCAAAUAUUUUCUUUUCACAAAUAAGUAAGCAUAGAUUCAAACAAAAUUUUGGUAAUUUACAUUUCAGAAUUAAAAUAAAGAUUUAAAGUGCAAAGAUAAGUUCCAAAAAGAGAAACUUUGUAAUCGAAGAAAUCAAACUAAAAGUACCAAGUUGAAUCUGAACAAUGAAAAAAGAACCGUCUAGCCCGAAAAAAGCAUGAAUACAAAAGACUAAUAAAUCGUUCAGAACAAGCAAAAACUGCGGUGUUCAUAAAAUCGAAAGGAUGCAACCAAAUAUAUACGUCUAGCCCGCAGCAAAGAUAUUUUUUCGAUAAGCAGGGAAACAUAACUCUAGAACUUAGUUAUAAGUCUACGAUUAAAACGUCAUAGCACAAAAAAAACAGCAAGGUUUAAAUGGUAGAAAUAUUUUCACAAACCAGUAAGCACAAGUACAUACAAAAUUUAGGAAAUUGAGAUUUCAAAACUAAAAUAAAGUUUUAAAGUGCAAAGUUAAGUUCCAAAAAGAGAGUACCAAGUUGAAAUUCAAGUGUGAAAAAACAACCGUCCCUCGAGAAACCAAAAUAAAGUUUUAAAGUGCAAUUACAAAAAAGCCGCAAGGUUUAAAUGCAAGCAAAUAUUUUCUUUUCACAAACAAGCAUAAGUUCAAACAAAAUUACAGAAAUUGCCAUUUCAGAAGUAAAAUAAAGCUUUCAACUCUAAAGAGAAGUUCCAAAAAGAGACUUUGUAAUUGAAGAAAUCAAACUCAAAGCACCGAGUUGAAACUUAAUGUUGAAAAAUAACCGUUACACCAGAAACAAAAGUAAAAGAUUCAA
Molecule: long non-coding RNA, 16865 nt
Filed under: Oryza sativa (Asian cultivated rice)
Lineage: Eukaryota; Viridiplantae; Streptophyta; Magnoliopsida; Poales; Poaceae
Description: long non-coding RNA (OSAT_LNC000410)
Source: RNAcentral